This 898-nucleotide ribosomal RNA is filed under the name uncultured bacterium. Its description in RNAcentral is "bacterial SSU rRNA". It matches the Rfam family "Bacterial small subunit ribosomal RNA", at positions 8 to 916 of the family's 1533-position model. The record is from RNAcentral.
AGAGUUUGAUCCUGGCUCAGGAUGAACGCUGGCGGCGUGCCUAAUACAUGCAAGUCGAACGAGGCCCUUUGUAUUCGUACGAAGGUGUCCUAGUGGCGAACGGGUGAGUAACGCGUUGGUGACCUACCCCAAAGUCUGGGAUAACAGUUCGAAAGGACUGCUAAUACCGGAUGUGGUCAUCGGAUUUAGAAACCGAUGUCUAAAGGAUUUAUUCGCUUUGGGAGGGGCCUGCGUCCCAUCAGCUAGUUGGUAAGGUAACGGCUUACCAAGGCGACGACGGGUAGGGGACCUCAGAGGGUGGCCCCCCACAAUGGAACUGAAACACGGUCCAUACAUCUACGGAUGGCAGCAGUAGGGAAUAUUGCACAAUGGGCGAAAGCCUGAUGCAGCAACGCCGCGUGUGCGAAGAAGGCCUUCGGGUCGUAAAGCACUUUUCUGGGAGAUGAGAAAGGACAGUAUCCCAGGAAUAAGUCUCGGCUAACUACGUGCCAGCAGCCGCGGUAAAACGUAGGAGGCGAGCGUUAUCCGGAUUCACUGGGCGUAAAGCGCGUGCAGGCGGUUUGGUAAGUUGGGCGUGAAAGCUCCCGGCUCAACUGGGAGAGGUCGUCCAAAACUACCAGACUAGAGAGCGAUAGAGGAAAAUGGAAUUCCCGGUGUAGUGGUGAAAUGCGUAGAUAUCGGGAGGAACACCAGUGGCGAAGGCGAUUUUCUGGAUCGUUUCUGACGCUCAGACGCGAAAGCUAGGGUAGCAAACGGGAUUAGAGACCCCGGUAGUCCUAGCCGUAAACGAUGUGAACUUGGCGUUGGUGGCUUAAACACCAUCAGUGCCGUAGCUAACGCGAUAAGUUCACCGCCUGGGGACUACGACCGCAAGGUUAAAACUUAAAGGAAUUGACGG